RNAcentral lists this long non-coding RNA (329 nucleotides) under Gossypium raimondii (Peruvian cotton). RNAcentral describes it as "long non-coding RNA (GRAI_LNC007989)". The record is from RNAcentral. Lineage: Eukaryota; Viridiplantae; Streptophyta; Magnoliopsida; Malvales; Malvaceae.
AUCCAUUGCAAUUGUAGAAAAGAAACAUAGUUCAUGGAAAAAUUAAAAAAUAUCUUGAAAUAAAAAUAAGAACUACUUAUAAAAAAAUUAAAAAAAAAAUAGAUGAAGAAAAUUGAGUCUUCUCGAUGAAUUCCGUCGAUCCUUGAUGCUAAAAGGCUUUAGCAGCUUCUCUUCUUUUUCUCCACAUUUUUUUGAGGCUAAGUCUCUUUUUUCUUCUUUUUUAUCUCAUCAAAAUUCACAGCACUCCAACGAAUAAAUCUUUUGUUGGAGUGAAAAACUACUUCCCUUACCUAAAUCAAACUAUCCUAUUUUUAUACUUCGUCGAACAU